RNAcentral lists this ribosomal RNA (497 nucleotides) under uncultured bacterium. RNAcentral's name for it is "partial 16S ribosomal RNA". It matches the Rfam family "Bacterial small subunit ribosomal RNA", at positions 28 to 507 of the family's 1533-position model. The record is from RNAcentral.
GACGAACGCUGGCGGCGUGCCUAAUACAUGCAAGUAGAACGCUGAAGAGAGGAGCUUACUCUUCUUGGAUGAGUUGCGAACGGGUGGGUAACGCGUAGGUAACCUGCCUUGUAGCGGGGGAUAACUAUUGGAAACGAUAGCUAAUACCGCAUAACAAUGGAUGACACAUGUCAUUUAUUUGAAAGGGGCAAUUGCUCCACUACAAGAUGGACCUGCGUUGUAUUAGCUAGUAGGUGAGGUAAUGGCUCACCUAGGCGACGAUACAUAGCCGACCUGAGAGGGUGAUCGGCCACACUGGGACUGAGACACGGCCCAGACGCCUACGGGAGGCAGCAGUAGGGAAUCUUCGGCAAUGGGGGCAACCCUGACCGAGCAACGCCGCGUGAGUGAAGAAGGGUGUCGGAUCGUAAAGCUCUGUUGUAAGUCAAGAACGGGGGUGAGAGUGGAAAGUUCACACUGUGACGGUAGCUUACCAGAAAGGGACGGCUAACUACGUG